This 74-nucleotide transfer RNA is filed under the name Pirellula sp. SH-Sr6A. RNAcentral describes it as "tRNA-Arg". It matches the Rfam family "tRNA". From Rfam's summary of the family: Transfer RNA (tRNA) molecules are approximately 80 nucleotides in length. Their secondary structure includes four short double-helical elements and three loops (D, anti-codon, and T loops). The record is from RNAcentral. Lineage: Bacteria; Pseudomonadati; Planctomycetota; Planctomycetia; Pirellulales; Pirellulaceae.
GUCUGUGAAGUGUAGUGGAUACGCACGCGACCCUGCGAAGGUCGAAGAUCAGGUUCGAUUCCUGACAUGGACAC